This 5591-nucleotide long non-coding RNA is filed under the name Limulus polyphemus (Atlantic horseshoe crab). RNAcentral's name for it is "uncharacterized LOC111086120, transcript variant X2". The record is from RNAcentral. Lineage: Eukaryota; Metazoa; Arthropoda; Merostomata; Xiphosura; Limulidae.
GAAGCUUGAUCGGUGCUUGCCACCACCGUUCAGUUUUAGAGGUCGCUGUGUAGCAAGAAUGGACCCUAUUUUAAGCUAGUUAGGCCUACAAGGAAGAAUAAUAAUUAUCGAACUUCUUGAUCAACUGCGCCAUCAUGUCAGUGGCAUCGUCCUUGCAAGCAGCACCACUGCCAAGCUAUGAGAGUAUCAUAAGUCAGAACCUUAAAGAUGGUGCAUCCAAUCAUAAAAAAUGGAAUUACCACAAAUAAGAGAAGGAGACAUACUUUCCCAUUUAGAAGAACAGCAAAAACAGUGUAUAAAAAAAGACAUUUUCCAAACUCUGAUUUUGACCUGAACCUUGUUUUGGUGUAUAUGAAACGUUUUUGAUGUUUUUUUACAUAAUUUGAGGGUACUGAUCAUGAAUCCAGAGGGUGCCAGAUUGCCAUCUUUAAGAGUUUGAGAUAUUCAAGAUAGCUGCCAUAUAAUACUCCACAUUGGGAGCCUUUAGGAUAUAAAUUGUUGUAAACACAAUGAGUUGAAGUAUGGAACAAUUGUUCUUAGUUUAUAACAUUAAACUUAGUGUGAUCAUUAAGAAUAUCACACACAGCUUUGUAUCACAUUUUGCCCAAAAUUCACAAACCAAACACUCCACUUUAGGCACUCACUGUUAUAACUUACCAAUUUUGAAACCUUUGAUUAUGAUUGAAUUUACAAUACCUAACAUCUUUCAUUUUUCUUGCAAAAUUAGUCAACUCCCUCCCCUUAAAAAUCAUCUGAUGAUCAGUUUGAUACUACUUAUCUUUUCACUAAUAUUCCUCUGGACGUAACUAUUAACAUUGUCCUUUCUAAACUUUUUGCAAAAAAACACCCCUGUCAAUGGACUAUUAAGAUACAAUUUAAAAUCUUUGCAUAAAUUUUCAACUAGACACACUUUCCUCCUUUUUAACAAUACACUUAAUGAACAGACAGAUGGCAUUGCUAUGGGCUCUUCCCUGAGACCAGUGCUUUCCAAACUUUUCCUUUUUUCUCCAUCACUUUGAACAGAACUGGAUGGACAACUGUACUUUAUACUUCAAGCCUAUUUUCUACACAAGGUAUGCAGAUGAUAGUUUCCUUAUUUUUCACUUUAAAGGUUAUAUCACACAUUUUCUUGACUAUCGUAAUUUACAACACCUUUCUAUAUAUAUAUUUUCUCAUCAAACUGAGGCUAAUAACUCUUUUCCUUUCUGGACAUUUUAAUUAAUCAUAAUACUAAUGGUUUUUCUGUUUGUCAUGAAAAUACAUUUAUUGGCCUUUUUACCCAAUUUCACAAGUCUUAUACUUUGUCUUCUGAAUAGGGCCUACAACCUUACCUCUUCUUUUCUGGCCCUUCACAAAAAAAUUUUUUUAUAUGAAGCAUUCUUUUUCAAAAUAGCAGCUACCCUAUGCAUUCGUUGGAGAAAACAAUUUUCUCAAUCUUAACACAUUAAGUACCACCUCAGAGAUCAAUAUCCAUGCCAGGUGUAAUUAGUUUUGUUUUUAUUAGGAACAUUGUAAUAAUGCAAAAUAAUAUCAGAUAAAAGUUUAUGGGCAUGUACGGUUAUUCAACUAGAAUCUGUACCAUGACUUACAUGAGCAUCAUUGCCACUGCAUUUGAAAUUAUUUUUAUGAGUGCUGUAUGACACAUAUGUAUCCUCUUACUUUUUAUAUAUCUUGUCAUGGUCUUUGGGUAUGAUUUGAAUGUACAAAACUGGAAGAAAGUUUUUAACCUUUCCAACUGCACUAUCUACCAACUUAAUGCAGAAAUAGGACAUCCAAUUUCUCCCUUGAACUUUAAAAUACUCUCAACAGCUAAGUAUGAAACUGAACUUCUGAUAAAUGGGACAUUAUGCAUAAAAACUCUUCUUUCAAUUUCUAACUAAUACCCAUUCACCAUUUGAUAUAAAUCUAUUUUAAUAUGUAAGAUGUAAUUUGUAUUAGAUAUUGUUUAUUUUUUACUGUUAUUUUGUGUUUUCAAAUUGUUUAAUGUUAUUUGUUUUAGCAUAUAUCACAUUCUUGGUGUAAUUAAUAUUGCAUAUUUUUGUAUCAUUAGCUUACUGAAGAUGAAAUUCUAAAGAUGCUGAAACAUCUAUUAAGUGCUUCAUAUAAUUACGUUUGUGUUGUUCUUUAUAAUUAAAAUACGUCACAUUUUCUGAAAAAUUAAUUGAUAGAGAAGCAAUUUUGACCUGUAGAUGUAGGUUAAUGGGGGGUCUAAGAACUCAAGCUUGACAUUAAAAGUGCAACAUUAUUUAUAAUAUAAUUAAAAAUGGUAUUUUGACUAGUAAGGUUUUUGAGAAUGUCUUAAUCCUACAUGUCCACAUUAACUGUAGGAUGAAGAGUUAUAUGGAUGUCUUUGCCUAAUUCUGACUAAGCCACAGUAGACAAACAUGUUAAUUCAAACUAAUAUGACUGCAAUACAACCAGCCGCUUCACUGCCAAUGCUUACCAUUAUUGUAUCAUAACAAAACCAGCCUCCUCGUCACUUGUUCUUGUAUCCUCCCUCUAUCAGACAUCCAUUACUAACUUUUCUUUUAUUGUGUAGGGGAUUGGCAUGAUUUUUCUUAUGAUGUGGAAAAUGUUUGUUCUAUUGAUAGUUUCCUUGAUAUUAUAGUAUAGUAUUAAGGUAAUUAUUGGUUUAAACAGUAUAAUUUGAAGAAUUUUGUUAUGAAUAUUAACUGGUUUUAUCUAGAAUAACAAUAUGCGUGAAUAUGUAUACUUUUUUUUUGUAAAGCACUCAUGAGUAUAGUUUAUCACUGUAUAUUGUUAUGCAUAUUAUUUUGAAUGAACAUACAUGUUUAUAUUGUGUCACUCAGUCAGAUUCAGGCAAUACAGUUAAUGUGAAACAUAUAGGUUCAAGACUUGCUUUUAAUAGUUAAAAUACCACUUUUAAUUACAUUAUGAGCAGUAUUGAACUUUUUAAUGUCAAACUUGAGCUCUUAGAUCCCCAUAAUUCUAUGUCUAGAUAUCAAAAUUGCUACUCUGUCAUUUUUAAGAGGCUGAGAUACCAUAAUUUUUCAGGUUUGGUAGCCAUCUUAAAUAUUUCAAAAUUCUCAAGGAUGUCAAGGUGGCACCCUCUGGAUUUAUAAUCAGCACCCUCAAAUUAUUUGAAUGCCAUGACGAAUUAUUACACAUGUGCCAAAACAAGGUUCAGCCUCUUGCUGUUAGAUUAUUCAAAGAAAUUAGCAAUAUAUCAAAGUUUUUGCAGCCCACUCACCUACACCAUGAGCAUCUACUUCAUGAACAUCUUGUAUGUGGUAUCAAACUCACUGUUUUAUCAAGCAUGCUUUGAAGAUGAUGUUUUGGCAAGUGUAAAUUAAUGUGAUUACUGAUGACACAUACAUUUAUACUGCAUAGGCCAUGUGUUGUUCGUGUGCAGGUUUCAUCUUUCAUGUUUUUGUUUUAAUAUGGUAAUUCAAACUAGAAUUACACACAUUCAUUAUUACUCAUGCACGUCCUUCACUUAGUGAAUUCAUAGAAUUAAUGGAUGAAUUUAAAAUGGAAGAAAUUAACACAAAAGUUAAGAAAUUAACAGUCACAGUAACAAAAAUCUUAGGUACAAUAAAGGAUAAAGUUAUAUAAAUUAUUGCUGAGAUUAAUUACACUUUUAUGAGCAUUUCCAUAGUAUACCAUAACUAUAUGACCAUUGAACUAUGUUUAUGAAUUCAGUAUGAAAGUAUUAUUUUAAUUACUUGUGACUUUCAGAAAGAAUGUGAACCACAAACUAGGUAACCUCUGUUAAAGGUGUUUGAGCAAUGUUAUUUGUAUAUUUAUUUGAAUAAUAACAUAAUUCAUAACAUGAUUUGAUAUUAUAAAAGUUUUCUUAAUAUUAUUGAUUAUUAUACUUAUAUGUUUCCUAGCUUAGUUAGCUCAAUAGGGAUACUGCUAGACAAUGGACUGAAAUAUGUAUAAUUCUAAUCAAGAAGUUUUAAAUAUAGAACUAUCAACAUUUACAGAGAACCAACCCUUCCAAUUCUGAACUCUAGAUUAUGCCUGAGGAAGUCACUCGACCUCCAAUGACCCUGCCCUAGAUUGAAGGAACAGCUCUCCAUCAGAUGGAUAAGAUUCAAGUGAGUGUGGGCAGCAAAAAAUAACAGUCUAGCAGAUCACGGCCAAUGGAACUAGUUCUGAUCACUCAUUAGUAUUACCAGUAGGUAUAAUGAUGGAGUAAAUGUUGACUUACCUACGUGCUUGUCUGUGUAGGGCAAGAUAACCUUUCAAUGAUCAUAGAAAGACAAGAUAGAACUGAGAUAGCUGUUCGUAUUUCCACUGUAGAAGUGGAAUAUAGUGCAGCAGCAUACCUUCAUUCUGGUAGAGGUGUCACUGUCUUCCUUACUUCUUGACAUGUGACACUAUUUUAAGGUCUUAACUUGCUGUACCUCUUUCUCUUCAAUACAUUUAGAGCAUGAUCAAGGUUAAGAGGGAUGGGAACUUGACCAGUUGACACAGUGUGGCUGCAACUUACACUCAUAUUAGUGUAAUAGGGGUAAUAUUAGUGUUAGCAAAAAUAAAGUGUGUUGUUUCAUGUAAAACUAAAGAGUACACAUUGUACUCUGUGAUAAUAAUGUGACUGGCCUACCCAAGUAGAGGUACCGAGAACAUGAUAUAAGUUUAAAACACCAUGACAAGAUAGUUUAGUGUGUCCAAACUACUAACUGAAGACAUUUUUGGAAAUGUAGAAUUUCUUGUAUUUUACCUUGUGUAGGAAGGAUAAAUUAAUUAUUUUUAAUAAUCAGACAGUCAUGAUCAAGCACAAUUAACCAAAGGUAGACUAACUACAUUGCUAGAUAACUACUUUUUAUAGAUAAGAUAAUUUUCAAAAAUACCCUUAAUUAUUAUAAUCUGUGAUGUAGAGGCAUAAUAUAUUUAUAGAUUUGCCACAUCCUCUGAUGAGCAUUGGAAUUUUGUCUAAUAAAGGCUCUUCAACACACCUUAAGUCAGCAAACCAAAGUAAUACAAUAAAGCCUCUUAUAAUGGUGGUGUGUACGUAAUAUUUAUAAUAUUUUAAAGCUAUUUUUUAACCACCACUUAGUAACUUAAACUAUUUUAGAUAUGUGAAUAAUAAUAUGACAUUCAUUAUUAUACAGUGAACCAAAUGAACCACUAUUACAGACUUUAUUGUAGUUGUUUGGUUUGCUGACCUAAACUGUGCUUAUGAACUUUGAUUAUAUUGGUGAAACUGCAGUCCACAGCAAAGGGUGCAGCAAAUCAAAGAACAUAUUAAGCCUCUGUGUUAGAGAUUGUAUUUUUAAUUUUUACUUUUGGUGAAAAUAAAUUUUUAAUAUCAUCAUUAGACUGUUAGUUCACUGUAUAACACCAAAUAAUAAUUUUGCAGAAUGUUAUAAUAUUCAUAUAUGUAAAGUAGUUUAGGUUGUUAAAUGGUGAGGUAAGAAGAUUUAUAAAUAUCAUAAAUAUUUAUUCUCAUCUAUUGUAAUAUACCACAAGAAAUAAAAAAAGUCAUAUUUCAUAACUGCAAUUCUGAUUUUGCAAUUUUGCCAGAAAAAUAAAUUCCAAGUUACACUUGAAAGCAACCACUGAAAUGCUACUAUACAGAAUAAUAGUUUAAAUAAAAUUGACACAACACUGUUUUAGUUCCU